AGAGCGGCUGGGAAUAGCCCUGGUGCGCACUCCCUGAUCUCUCCUUGCGUCCGUAAGCCGUGGCUGAAGAGGAGAUCUAUUUUCUAACUGCCUGGGAUGAAAGAGUCCAAGCCAACAAUUCUUUCAGUCUUUCCCAAUUACACGAGGACAAACCGAAUUGGCACAUCCUAAAAGAAGAUAAGACCAAUAGGUUUCACACAGACUUGCUGCGUAGGCACAAUUGAUCUGAGCAUUUGCAGCACAUCUGAUGUACUGAGGGUCGAGUGAACCCUCUGGAUGUGCAGAUGAUUUUUAAAAGCAGUAAUGGACCAUCUAAAGCAGUAGGGUUGGGAUGCCUGCGUCCACCCCCUACGAGAAAUAUGGAUGUAUUUGUAUUUUUACUGUGCUUCACUUUCAGAUCAGGAAUGCUGGAUGCCAGUUUCCCGGCUCCGGCAGCGAUGGCAGAAGGUGUAUUUGUUGCACAAAGUCUUUUGUCAGGGUCAGGCAGCGGUGAGGCUAAUUGUACACCUCUUGGCUACCCUCUGGUUCUCAAAAUAAAUAAAUAAAACUACCAAUUCAGAGGGGUUGUAAAAGAAAACCUGCGGUGUGAUUUUAAAAUCCAGAGAAAAUAACUGUGGGAAUGUGGAUGCAUGCCUGGUCUGUGUGCUUUCAACCCCACUUAAAAGAGAACUGGUCCUAAGUUGUUGCUUUGCUGCGCUCAUUACAGCUCAGUGCUCUCCCCAGGCAUGUGUAUUCACUCAGAGCACAAACAGCUGUCAGUCCAUGCUCGCCAAGAUUUCCUGUGUGGAGUAAUACUUCUGCAGUUAUUCCAAGGUGCUUUUCCCAAGGGUAAACAUUACAUCUCAAAUCAGGAGUAAAUACAGCAAAGGAAGGGGAGAAUGUCAGAAUGUGAUUUUGCCUUGGCAGGGAAUGACUUCAAAGCUUUCUCAUACAUUGUCUAAAGGAAUAAACUUUUUUCUCUCUCUCUAAUUUUUCCUCUGGAAAUGAAUGAGAAGGCUAGAAGGCAUAUAUUCAAAUGAAUAAAUUUUCUGU
Molecule: long non-coding RNA, 1032 nt
Organism: Gallus gallus (chicken)
Lineage: Eukaryota; Metazoa; Chordata; Aves; Galliformes; Phasianidae
Source: Ensembl